GACAGUGUGGUAUAGUGGUUUGAGUGUUGGACUAUGACUCUGGAGACCAGCGUUCAAUUCCCAGUUCAGACA
This 72-nucleotide transfer RNA is filed under the name Phrynosoma platyrhinos (Desert horned lizard). Its description in RNAcentral is "tRNA-OTHER". Lineage: Eukaryota; Metazoa; Chordata; Lepidosauria; Squamata; Phrynosomatidae. The record is from RNAcentral.